This 254-nucleotide ribosomal RNA is filed under the name uncultured bacterium. Its description in RNAcentral is "partial 16S ribosomal RNA". It matches the Rfam family "Bacterial small subunit ribosomal RNA", at positions 524 to 776 of the family's 1533-position model. The record is from RNAcentral.
CACGUAGGGGGCAAGCGUUGUCCGGAUUUAUUGGGCGUAAAGAGCUCGUAGGCGGUUCGAUAAGUCGGGUGUGAAAACUCUGGGCUCAACCCAGAGACGCCACCCGAUACUGUUGUGACUGGAGUCCGGUAGGGGAGCGUGGAAUUCCUGGUGUAGCGGUGAAAUGCGCAGAUAUCAGGAGGAACACCAGCGGCGAAGGCGGCUAUCUGGACGGUUUCUGACACUAAGACUCGAAAGCGUGGGGAGCAAACAGG